UGAGGAAUAUUGGACAAUGGGCGCAAGCCUGAUCCAGCCAUGCCGCGUGCAGGAAGACGGCCCUAUGGGUUGUAAACUGCUUUUAUACGGGAAGAAACAACGCCACGUGUGGCGUCUUGACGGUACCGUAAGAAUAAGGAUCGGCUAACUCCGUGCCAGCAGCCGCGGUAAUACGGAGGAUCCAAGCGUUAUCCGGAAUCAUUGGGUUUAAAGGGUCCGUAGGUGGACGAUUAAGUCGGAGGUGAAAUCCUGCAGCUCAACUGUAGAAUGGCCUUUGAUACUGGUUGUCUUGAAUCAUUGUGAAGUGGUUAGAAUAUGUGGUGUAGCGGUGAAAUGCAUAGAUAUCACAUAGAAUACCGAUUGCGAAGGCAGAUCACUAACAAUGCAUUGACACUGAUGGACGAAAGCGUGGGGAGCGAACA
This 422-nucleotide ribosomal RNA is filed under the name uncultured Flavobacteriaceae bacterium. RNAcentral's name for it is "bacterial SSU rRNA". It matches the Rfam family "Bacterial small subunit ribosomal RNA", at positions 355 to 774 of the family's 1533-position model. The record is from RNAcentral. Lineage: Bacteria; Pseudomonadati; Bacteroidota; Flavobacteriia; Flavobacteriales; Flavobacteriaceae.